AUCCAGCCAUGCCGCGUGUGUGAAGAAGGUCUUCGGAUUGUAAAGCACUUUAAGUUGGGAGGAAGGGCAGUAAAUUAAUACUUUGCUGUUUUGACGUUACCGACAGAAUAAGCACCGGCUAACUCUGUGCCAGCAGCCGCGGUAAUACAGAGGGUGCAAGCGUUAAUCGGAAUUACUGGGCGUAAAGCGCGCGUAGGUGGUUCGUUAAGUUGGAUGUGAAAUCCCCGGGCUCAACCUGGGAACUGCAUUCAAAACUGACGAGCUAGAGUAUGGUAGAGGGUGGUGGAAUUUCCUGUGUAGCGGUGAAAUGCGUAGAUAUAGGAAGGAACACCAGUGGCGAAGGCGACCACCUGGACUGAUACUGACACUGAGGUGCGAAAGCGUGGGGAGCAAACAGGAUUAGAUACCCUG
This 411-nucleotide ribosomal RNA is filed under the name Pseudomonas brenneri. RNAcentral's name for it is "bacterial SSU rRNA". It matches the Rfam family "Bacterial small subunit ribosomal RNA", at positions 386 to 789 of the family's 1533-position model. The record is from RNAcentral. Lineage: Bacteria; Pseudomonadati; Pseudomonadota; Gammaproteobacteria; Pseudomonadales; Pseudomonadaceae.